UACGGAGGGGGCUAGCGUUGUUCGGAAUUACUGGGCGUAAAGCGCACGUAGGCGGACUGUUAAGUCGGGGGUGAAAUCCUGGGGCUCAACCUCAGAAUUGCCUCCGAUACUGGCAGUCUCGAGUGCGGGAGAGGUGAGUGGAAUUCCCAGUGUAGAGGUGAAAUUCGUAGAUAUUGGGAAGAACACCAGUGGCGAAGGCGGCUCACUGGCCCGUAACUGACGCUGAGGUGCGAAAGCGUGGAGAGCAAACAGG
Molecule: ribosomal RNA, 253 nt
Filed under: uncultured bacterium
Lineage: Bacteria
Description: partial 16S ribosomal RNA
Rfam family: Bacterial small subunit ribosomal RNA
Source: RNAcentral